UGGCCUUGACAUGCAGAGAACUUUCCAGAGAUGGAUUGGUGCCUUCGGGAACUCUGACACAGGUGCUGCAUGGCCGUCGUCAGCUCGUGUCGUGAGAUGUUGGGUUAAGUCCCGUAACGAGCGCAACCCCUAUCCUUGGUUGCUAGCAGGUAAUGCUGAGAACUCCAGGGAGACUGCCGGUGACAAACCGGAGGAAGGUGGGGAUGACGUCAGGUCAUCAUGGCCCUUACGGCCAGGGCUACACACGUGCUACAAUGGCGUAUACAGAGGGCUGCCAACUCGCGAGAGUGAGCCAAUCCCUUAAAGUGCGUCGUAGUCCGGAUCGCAGUCUGCAACUCGACUGCGUGAAGUCGGAAUCGCUAGUAAUCGCGAAUCAGAA
Molecule: ribosomal RNA, 379 nt
Filed under: Marinobacter litoralis
Lineage: Bacteria; Pseudomonadati; Pseudomonadota; Gammaproteobacteria; Pseudomonadales; Marinobacteraceae
Description: bacterial SSU rRNA
Rfam family: Bacterial small subunit ribosomal RNA
Source: RNAcentral